This is a ribosomal RNA of Cyprinus carpio carpio, 119 nucleotides long. The record is from Ensembl. NCBI's taxonomy places the organism in Eukaryota, Metazoa, Chordata, Actinopteri, Cypriniformes, Cyprinidae.
GCUUAAGGCCAUACCACCCUGAGCGCGCCCGAUCUCGUCUGAUCUCGGAAGCUAAGCAGGGUCGGGCCUGGUUAGUACUUGGAUGGGAGACCGCCUGGGAAUACCAGGUGCUGUAAGCU